This 2806-nucleotide long non-coding RNA is filed under the name Sus scrofa (pig). Its description in RNAcentral is "lncRNA (ENSSSCG00040024388.1)". The record is from RNAcentral. Lineage: Eukaryota; Metazoa; Chordata; Mammalia; Artiodactyla; Suidae.
UUUCUGGGUUUUGUAGGACAUAGAGAGGAGUAGAAAUUGAUUGUUGUUAUGGGGGAACUCCUUUUACCCCUCUUUGUAUGAAUUUGUACCUCCCUGUUCUGGGAACUGAUGGAGCAGUAGUAUCUUGACAUCGUAAAGUGAAGAAAUGACUUCUUAGGUCCUUUGGAAGAAACAGGUUUGAUGUUCACCAACCCUCUUUUCUUUGUUUUAGCACACCAGUCAUUUAUAUACCCCAGAAUUCUUUGCAAUCAGGUUGACACAUUGGCCAUGGAAAUAUGUACUAAAAUAAUGCCCAUUGCUCCCAGGCAUGGCUGUAAAACCCUUGUGAGAGCCAUGGGCUGCCUUUAUCAAUCAGCUGGAUACAGAGAAUCCAGAAGAAGGCCCUGAUAUUUGAAGUCCUGCCUUUCAUCUCAGGCUUUUAUUUAAGAAAAAAAAAAAUGUGAGGGCCUUGCAACAAAAUGGAAAAAGUCUGGGUCCUAAACCAUUACUUUGAGAGGGGCCACAUGUCCUGCCUUGGACUGAUAGGCAAGAAAAACAAACUUUUAUUGUGUGAAGCCCUUGAGAUUUGGGGGUUGUAUGCUGUAGCAGCUCAUGUUAAUCCCCCAACUAAUACAGGUUCUUCUUAUAUUGUGCGUUCAGCGAUCUCCUUCCUUUGGCUCCUUCUCUUCCCCACGAGAUUUGGGCGAGAAAGACAAGAUAGGAGCCCAGAGGAUUUAUGACUUAAUCAAAUGUUUAAAUGCUAAGAUUUUGGUGUCUUUGAAAUAGAUCUGGCAUUUAGAUUUAAGUUGACCAAAGCCCUCAUAGUGAGAAUACACGUAGUAAGAGCAGAAGAGAAGAGAACCCAGAGAGUGAUGAAAGCUAGAAGUGUUUCCAAUUGUCUAUAGGUCCAGAAGGUGUUAGAAGAUUCUCCAACACAGGGUAGAGCAAAUUAUUAAAAAUAUCUACUGAAGGCCAGAGUCUGAACUAGGCCUUCAAUAGGGAGUCCAAGAGUCCUUCAACUGGGGAAGAAGAGGGGCUAUACCAUAUACAAAGGUGAGUAAGACACCUCUGCUUUUCACAUAAUUGUGCCGAUCCGGACACAUAAAGAGAAUUACUACAUUCAGUUAAGCCAGAAAGCACCAGUACAACAACACCACAAUGAAAAAUAGAAGAGCAAGAAAAAUUCCAAAUGGCAUCAAAAGUUGGCAGGGUGUGAGAUCUAGAGGGAAAAAAAAGGAGAUCUGAGCAGAUCUUUGAAAGACUUGUAGGACUUUGGAGGGAGGACAGAGGUGGGAGAAUAUAACACAGAUUCCUGAAAGAGAGUCGGUUAAUAGGCCAUGUGUAUAAGGGUUAGCGUAUGUAUGUGUAUGGAGAGGGCGAAGAUAAGAUUGGAAAGAUGGAAGGAAAAGCUGGGCUAUAAUCUGCUCCCCCCCCUUUUUUGCACAAGCACAGGAAAUAAGAAACUUAAGAGCCCCUAGCAGAAAUAUAAUUUCAAUUCCUGUGGUGUGGUAUGGGCCUUCCAGAAAUCCUUAGCAGCAGUAGAUCUCCUUGGCAAGCUGUGAAUUCAGAAAGGAGAAGGACAUUUUUUUUUUUUUUUCCCUUAAAUCAAAGCCUGAGAUGAAAGGCAGGGCUUCAGGUAUCACAAGGCUUUCCCAAAUUUGGCUGUACCUGCAAAGCAAUGGGAAGUCUUCUCAAUCAGGGAAGGUAAAAAAAGAUCACUAGUUAAGUCAGGGGUGGUUUAGUCACAUUUUCUUCCAGAGAGCAUUGUCUCUUAAUAUAAAGGAGCUUAGCUGGUAAUGUGUUCUCUUAGGGUUGAGGAUGCUUAACAUAAAACCUCUUGAGGCGGUUAGUAGUGCAGUUCAUCAAAUAUUUCUGGCUCUCCACGUUCUAGGUACAUGGUAGGAUUGUACUUCUGUGCUCCCUUUGAGGUUUGGUGUGGCUGCGAGACUUCCUUUGACCAAAGAAAUGUGAGAAGUUGAUUUGCAUAAUUUUUGGUGAGAAACUUAGAAGCCAGUGUAUGAUUGCUAUGCUGUGUUCUCUUGCUGAGGCAGUCAGGAUGAAAACACAGGUCAAGACAGAAUGUCUAUCAGCUUGGGUGAGCACAGUUCCCCUGCUAAUCCAGGCUGAAGUGAAAAUGAACUUUUAUUGUGGUAAGCCUCUGAGAUGAAGGGUUUUUAUGUUGUUUCAGCUCGCUUUUGCUCAUACUGACUGCUAAAUCUAUAUUGCCAGUUAAGAAGGGAUGUAACUGACAUUAUAAUGGUCUCCUACUGAAACUGAUACAAUAGUAUCAAAAGACAAUUACAGCUUGUUGGAAGAUUAAAGAAUGUCUCACUCAGUUCCAGCUGCUAUAACAAAAAUACCAUACACUGGGUAGCUUAUAAAUAACAGAAAUUUACCUCUCACAGAUUGGGAGGGUGGGAAGUCCAAGAUCAAGGUGCCAGCAGAUUCUGGUGAGGGUCUACUUCCUGGCUCACAUAGAGCCAUCUAUCUCCUGGCAGUGUCCUCAUAAGGCAGAAGGGGCAAGGGAACUCUCUGGAAUCUCUGGGCACUAAUCCCAUUCAAGAGGGCUCCACCCUCAUAACCUGAUCACUUCCCAUUGAGCAUUAGGAUUUAACCUGUGAAUUUGGGAGGGACACAAACUAGUAUCCAUGAGGAUGUGGGUUUGAUCCCUGGCCUUGUUCAGUGGGUUAAGGAUCCGGCAUUGCUAUGAGCUGUGCUGUAGGUCACAGCUGCACCUCAGAUCUGGCGUUGCUGUGGCUGUGGUAUAGGCCAGCAGCUGCACCUCUGAUUGACCCCCAGCCUGGGAACUUCCACAUGCCACAGGUGU